GAAAGAGGAAUAUCUCCUGAUACUAAAACAUACAACAUCUUCCUAUCUCUUUAUGCUAAUGCAGGUAAGAUUGAUAGGGCUCUUCAGUGGUAUAGAAAGAUAAGAAGGACGGGACUUUUCCCUGAUGCUGUGACUUGUAGGGCUAUUAUUCGAACACUAUGCAAGCAAAAUAUGGUCCAGGAGGUUGAAAAUGUGAUUAGUGAAAUUGAAAGA
Molecule: unclassified non-coding RNA, 213 nt
Filed under: Hevea brasiliensis (rubber tree)
Lineage: Eukaryota; Viridiplantae; Streptophyta; Magnoliopsida; Malpighiales; Euphorbiaceae
Source: RNAcentral